CCUACGGGUGGCUGCAGUGGGGGAUAUUGCACAAUGGGGGAAACCCUGAUGCAGCGACGCCGCGUGGGCGAAGAAGUAUUUCGGUAUGUAAAGCCCUAUCAGCAGGGAAGAAGAAAUGACGGUACCUGAGUAAGAAGCACCGGCUAAAUACGUGCCAGCAGCAGCGGUAAUACGUAUGGUGCAAGCGUUAUCCGGAUUUACUGGGUGUAAAGGGAGCGCAGGCGGCACGGCAAGUCUGGAGUGAAAUGCCGGGGCCCAACCCCGGAACUGCUUUGGAAACUGUGCAGCUGGAGUGCAGGAGAGGUAAGCGGAAUUCCUGGUGUAGCGGUGAAAUGCGUAGAUAUUAGGAGGAACACCAGUGGCGAAGGCGGCUUACUGGACUGUAACUGACGUUGAGGCUCGAAAGCGUGGGGAGCAAACAGGAUUAGAUACCCCAGUAGUC
Molecule: ribosomal RNA, 442 nt
Filed under: uncultured bacterium
Lineage: Bacteria
Description: partial 16S ribosomal RNA
Rfam family: Bacterial small subunit ribosomal RNA
Source: RNAcentral